AGUUACAAAGUAAGUAACCAUUCUUUCUUCUUCGAGUGAUUUCUCAUGCCCAUUCUAUGUAGGUGACUCCAAAGCAGUAAUCGAAGGACGUGGGGUCAGAGUUCUAUCCUUCCACUGAGUAGAGGACCGCCCUACCCAGGGCAGCAUCCCCCCCUUGCCUGAUGCAUAAUGGUAAGCGAAGGAUAGAGGACCAUGUGACAGCCCUGCACCCCCUCAGUUAAGGAUAGGGACCAGAGCCAGAAAAGCUGCGGAGAAGGCCUGAGCUCUAGUUGAGUGGGCCGUGAGGGGAGUGUCUGGAAUCCCAGCCAUCCCGUAAGGCUUCCUAAUGCAGGCUGUGAUCCAAGAGGAGAUCCUUUGUGCCGAAACCGGCUGGCCUUUCAUCUGCUCUCCUAUGGCAAAUAAGAGCUGAGGUGACCUGCGGAAGGGCUUUUGUUCUUUCUAAAUAAAAAGCUAGAGCCCUCUGAAUGUCCAAAGUAUGUCGUGCCUGUUCCUUACCCGAUGCAUGGGGCUUGGGGGGUAAAAAACUGGUAGGAAGAGGUCUUGCAACACAUGGACACUACUUUCAGCAAAAAGGCAGGGUGGGAGCACAACCUGACUUUGUCUUUGAAGAAAACUGUAUAUGGGGGUUCCACCAUGAGGGCUCCAGUUUGGACACGUCUGGCUGAUGUGAUGGCCACCAAGAGGGAUAUUAUAGGACAAGUGUAAUAAGGAACAAGUCACCAAAGGUUCAAAUGGGGGUCUCAGAAGCUUAGACAGGACCAGGUUGAGAUCCCACUGUGCAACGGUUGCCUGCCAUGCAGGUAAAGCCUCUCCAGGCCCUUCAAGAAUCUGUUCACCAUUGGGUCCGCAAAAAAGGUCUUGCCCCUAAUGCCCAGAUAGAAAGCGGAAAUAGCCGCUAGGUGGAUCUUAAUCGAGGGGGAUGACAACCCUUGCAACCUGAGGUCCAAAAGGUAGUCCAGGAUCCAGGGAACUGGGGCAUCUACAGCCAAAAAUCCUCUUUGAGUAGUCCAGAUAUAAAACCGCUUCCAUUUGGCUAAAUAGGUAGCCCUGGUAGAAGGCUUCCUACUACCCAACAGCACCUCCUGCACCUGAGCUGAACACUGAAGCUCCGCCACCGUCAGCCACAAAGCUUCCACACCGUGAGAUGCAGGGGGCACAGGUCCACGUGCCGAAGCUUGCCGCCAUCCUGCGUAAUCAAGUCCGGUACCAUAGGGAGAGCUAUUGGUCUCUUGCAUGACACACUCAGGAGGAUCGAGAACCAAUGCUGUCUGGACCAUGCUGGGGCUAUGAGGAUCAGGGAUGCCCUGAAUUCCCGCACCCCCAGCAGCACUCUGUGGACUAAUGCAAAUGGCGGGAACGCAUAAAGCAGACCCCCGGGCCAUGGAAUGACUAACUCAUCUCCCCAAGAGCCCUGCCCCAUUCCCACGAGGGAGCAGAACUUCUGGCAUUUCCUUUUCUGUAGUCUGGCGAACAGGUCCAAAAGGGGAAAACCACAUUUGCAGAAGAUCCAAGCAGCCACGUCCCAUCUGAGACCAUUUGUGACCGGAGAAGGAUCUGCUCAGCCAAUCCGCCAGAUCGUUCUGGGAGCCUGGGAGAUAGGAGGUCAUUGGGUGGAUAUCCACCCUGAUUAAGAGAUCCUACAUGUGUAGGGCUUCCUGACACAAGUGACGUGAGCGGGCUCCACCCUGCCUGUUGAUAUAUGAGACCACCAACAUAUUGUCGGAUAGGAUGAGCACCGACUUGCCCCUGAGUCGAGGGAGGAAGGCCGCGCAAGCAAGGCAGACUGCCCAUGGUUCCCCUGUUAUUGAUGUGCUGAGAGAGAUUGUCCACAGUCCACAUAUCUUGUGUCUGUAUGUCGCCAGGGUGGGCUCCCCAGCCUGUGUCCGACACGUCUAUCACCAGCUGGAGGGUCAGUAAGGGCCCGGAGAAUGGUAACCCGGUGCAGACUUCCCCUCCCAGGUCCACCAAUCUACGGAUUGAAGGACCUCUGAGGGCACGGUCACCACUCUCUCCCACUGGUGAAAGGAUGGGUUAUGAGUGCAUGCCAGCCACAUCUGUAGUGGUCGCAUGUGGAGUAUGGCAUGUUGGGUGACAUAUGUGCAUGCGGCCAUUAGACCCAGGAGCCGCAUGCAAGUCCUGGCUGUAGUUAUCAGAAAUGCCUGCAGAUCCUGGACAGCUGACUUGAUCAUCAGGAAGUAGGACCUGGAGAGGGAGGCUCUUGCGGAUGUGGAAUCCAGAUUAGCACUCAUGAACUCUAUCACUGGAGUGGGUACCAAAGAUGAUUUGUCCACAUUCAGGAGUAAGCCCAACUCCCGGAAGAGAUCCUGAACCAGGGUGAUGUGGGCCUGCACCUGGUUUGCAGAGCUCCCUUGCAGGAGCCAGUCGUCCAGAUAGGUGAACACCUGGACUCUUUUUCCUCAAGGGCGGCAGCCACAAGGGUCGUGCACUUUGUGAAGACCCGGGGGACCGUGGAAAUCCCAAAGGGGAGGGCCAUAAACUGAUAGUGGUCUCUGCCCACCAUGAAGCAGAGGAAUCGUCAGUGGUGUGGAGCAAUGGAAAUGUGAAAGUAGGCAUCUUUUAGAUCGAGGACAGUGUACCAGUCUCUGAGAGCUAGGGAUGAAAUGAUAGAUGCCAGGGCCACCAUCUUGAAUUUGGGUUUGAUGAUGAAGGCAUUGAGAUCCCUGAGGACCAGGAUAGGACAGAAACAUCCCCGCCCCUCACACCCCACUUGGCUUUCGGGACCAGGAAAUAUUGGGAAUAGAAGCCCCUGCCCAGGACUCCUGGGGGAACCGGCGCUGUAAUCCCUAGAGCGAGGAGCUGAAGGACCUCCUCCUGAAGGAGAAGCUCGUGAGAGGGAUCCCUAAAGAGGGACGGGGUAGGGGGAUGUGAAGGAGGAGCAGAGUGGAAGGGGAUGACAUAGCCCCUUCCCACUGUCUAUAGGACCCAAUGGUCCGAGGUAACAUAUUCCCAGGCUUAGCAGAAAGGGAAUAGAUGAUCCUGGAAGGGGAGAGAUGAGACUGGUAAGCUGUCUUCAGGCGUACUCUCAGAAGCCUUGACAGGGCCCCGAGGACUUGUUAGGUGGGCCCUGUGCCUGAUCCUGGCACAGCUGAGGACGGCGCCUGCCGUUCCUCCCAUUGUUGGGAGAAAUCAGGGCAAGAGCCCUGCUGGGAAGGCAUUGGAGAGUUCCUGCCCAAGGAGGAUUGCCGCUGGGUGACAGGGGUGUGAAUGCCCAGUGACUUUAGCGUAACCUGGGUGUCCUUCAGCCCGUAUACGUGCUGGUCUGUCUGUUCAGAAAACGGAGACAGGCCCUCGAAUGGAAGAUCUUGGAUCGUAUUUUGGAGCUGCAGAGGUACCCCAGACCCUUGCAGCCAAGAGCUGCGGCAUAACACUAACCCAGUAGCCAUAGCACAAGCAGCCGCAUCGGAUGCAUCUAAGGCAGCCUAGAACACAGCCUUAGAGAUUGUUCUGCCCUCUUCUGAGAGGGCUCUGAACUUGGGCUGAGAAUCCCUCAAGAGGAGUUCAUUAAACUUGUCCAAGGAAAUCCAGGUGUUACACACGUAGCAAGAUAGCAAAACCAGCUGGUUCACUAUGAGAAGCUGUAGGCCUCCGGACGUGUAGGCCUUCCUCCCUAACAGAGCCAUCUUUUUGGCAUCCCUGUUCUUAAGGGUGGUGCCUGGCUGACAGUGCCUCUUCCUUUGGUUCACUGCCAAAUCCACCAGUGACCCAGGUUCCCCUCCAGGGCCAUGAAGUACCACUGUUCAACUCUCGUCUGUUGGUAGAAUGGAGGCCGGAGUUUGCCAGAGGGACUUGGAGAUCUUUGCCAUCAUUUUGUUGAUGGAGAAGGCCACUCUGGUGGGGGUGUCUGACUGUAGAAUGUCAACCGUAGAGUCAGAAUCCUCUAACACCCUCUCCGCCUGGAUCCCCAGGCUUUGGGCCAGUCGGCAAAGGAGGUCCUGAUGCACCUCAAGUCCAUGGAGACAUGCCCAGGGCCUCAUCUGGAGAGGAGGAUGAGGACCCCUUUGAGCCCACCUCCACAGGGUCCACUGCCUGCGAGGGAGCUUGCGAAGCCAUCAACUGGAGCAUUGUGAGUGGCCAGGUCAUGGGGCCCUCAGACUCCGAAGGGUAUGGGGAUGUCUGGCCUGGUGAAAGCGAUUGCUCUGAUGUAGGUGAUCGAGUAAGUGGGGUCGCCGAAGGAGAAGCUCUGGACACAGAGAAGAAUGACUCCCGUCUAGGGGGGCCACACCCUGACUCUGGUGGUAAGCCCACAGGGUCCAGAAGGGCCACUGAGAUGGAGGUGGUGCCAGUGGGAGCCAUGACUACUGCAUCCCCAGUACAGGGGCUGGCUGUGCCCAAUGAUACUGCUGUUGAUGGGCGGAAGUGCUACAGUGCUACGACCGGUGACGGGAAUGAGACUGGUGCUGAGAUUUUGAUCUUGAUCCCCUGGAGCACCACGUGGAUUCCACCUCUGAGUCAGUCGAAUACUCUGAAGCUAACCAUGGUGGUGCAGAGGCGGAUACAGCCAGUUGCCUUGAUGUCGGGGCAUGUCCCAGUGUGGGCAAGGAGGAGGGGGAGGCAUGGUCGGUGCCGGGCCUGGUGAGCUUUAGUUGGGACCAGAAUGUGCAGUAGCUGAUGCCAUGCUCGGUGCUGUUUGAGGCCCUUGUCCCGGCACAGAGAACAGUGAGAAGCAUGGGCUGGAGGUGCUGCUGGUGUGGCAGUGCUGGACCUGUGUUUUCUCGACUCUGGUGCCAGGACUCUGGGUGUCUUAGCUCCGAUCGGUGCUGACUGGAGUCCCGGUCCUUGGCUGAGGUCGGUGCCGGAGAAGAGGGGAACAACUCGAUAAGGUCCCUAGCAGCGUCGAAGGCCUCCAGUGUCGAAGGCUCUGGGAAAUCUCCCAUCGGGCUGCAGUCCUGGUGCAGACUGGAACAUUUGCCCAACCAAGAAGGUCCAGGCAGAGCCUGAAUAUGCUGCGUGCCCCAUCUGAGGGCAUGGGCUGGCGGGGCAGAGGAUGAUCUUCCCCCGCCAGACCUGCUCUUCUGAGGCACUGGGGAUUGAGAGCAGUGUCAUGGUUUAGGCAGUGCCGGCAAGGCCCGCAAAUGGCUCGACGCCUUUUGCACGAAGGCUGGUGUGCUCUGGGUCGCCAGUGCCAGGUGAGAAGCCGGUGCCGGCCGCAAAGCUGCUUCCAUUAUGAUGAUCUUAAGACGCGAUUCUCCCUCCCGCUUUGUGCGCGGCUUGAAUGCUUUGCAAAUUUUACAGGCUUCGGACAAAUGGGCCUUACCCAGACACUUAAGGCAGGCAAAGUGUGGGUUGCCACAGGGCAUAGGUCUCUGGCACGUCUCUCAGGGCUUGAAGUCUUUCAAUCCGGGCAUGCCCCACCGCUCACACCGAGAGUGCGGGGCAGGGACUACGGUGGGUCCUUAACUUAGGAAACUACUUAUCAAGAACUUGAUAACCGUAACUAUAACACUAGAACAAAGAAUUGUAAAACUAAGCUACAAAGGAGCAUUUGCUAAGCAAGAGCAGAAGCACGUCCCAAUGAUCCUCAGGGGUGGUAAGAAGGAACUGAAGGUUGGAGGGCCGGCGGGGCUAUAUAUGGGCCAGUAUAUCGGAAUAAUGAAGAUGUCUGCAAAACUUCACAAUACCAUGAGGUGGUGCUAAAGUUUUAUUUUCAAAUUAGCCAUCUGGCAAAAAACUGAAGUGCUUGUAUGAAUUUUUUCUUGUAUAAAAUAAUGAAAAUAUUUCAAACUGAUUAAAAUAUCCAGAAUAUAUACAGAAAAGUAAUCUCUAAACUGUAAAUGAAAACAUUUUUAGGGUGGGACCUGCAGUGCAAUAACAUGCCAUUUUAUUAAACAGGAGAUGCAUAAUCAAAUUUCAAGAAGGAAGAUAGUUUAGAAAAAUGAUACUCUUCCUCUCACUACCCUUCACUCUCCAUCUCUCCAAACAUAACAUUUGUUUAUUUCUGUUCCAGAAAUAAGCGUGCAGAUUCUCCACAGGGGCAGUGCCUGAUUAACUUUUAUCCCCUCAAUCACAAAUGACUCAUUUCAAUUACAGUGGAGUCUUGGUACAAUUCUCCGUGAAUAUGAGCUUUCACAUAUAUGGCAAUAGCAACAAUAUGACUUAUGAAGAAAAAAUUUAAACAUUGAUCACUGUGAAACAAAUAAAAGCCAAGAAAUGAAAACUUAUCAUGAGUCCAGCCUUAAUUCAUACAAUUCAGAUUCAGGGAGUACGAUAAGAAUAGUAAGAGGAGACAAACAUUAAAAAUACACAAUAUUUUUGUAACACAACCCAAAUUCGACUAGUUUUUAGUUGCUAGUUACAGAGGAAUUAGUUUCAUGUAAAGCUCUUCUUAUGGUCUGGUAUGUGAUAGAAAGUGCAAUAUAUUGAAAAGUCAAGAGUGCAGAUCUCCUUCAGUUGUAACCAUAGGCGCUAGUUCUGUGGGCACUUUGGUGUUCAGUGAGUGCUCCCCAUAUGACCUGCUUCCCCUUCCCUAGUGUCUUCAGCUUGUGCAGGAGGUGUUGUGGGAGGGAGGAGCAAGGGCAGGGUAUGUCUGAGGCAGGGGCAGAACAAGGUAGGAAAAGGCAAAGCAAAAGCAAUAUUGGGGAGUUGAACAACCCUCAAUAAGUCAUAAAGAUGGCAUCUAUGGUUGUGAUAACCUAUAAAGCUGAGAAUGACUAUGAACAUCUAAAACUAAGUGCAAUUCAAGGUGCUGGCCGUUUUAAAAAAUGCUGCCUAUCCUAAGACCUCCCUCAACUCAAUGUUAGCAGCAGCUUGCAUGCUCCUGCUGUAGAUCCUGGCUUGUAACUCUCCAGGAGUAUCAAUGGAUUUUUCUUAAUGGAGGGCCUCAGCCAAUGCAAUCUGCUCCCGCUGACUGUACGCCAGAGUUCUAGAUUUGUGUCAUUCAAAGCAGAACAGCAUCUACUGGGUGCACAAACAGUUCAAAUGAGCUACAGGGAAUUCAAUAACAAUAUGGCCU
This is a non-coding RNA of Pelodiscus sinensis (Chinese soft-shelled turtle), 6970 nucleotides long. NCBI's taxonomy places the organism in Eukaryota, Metazoa, Chordata, Testudines, Trionychidae. The record is from RefSeq and is a predicted model, not a curated record.